GAUGAAGACGUAGCGAAAUGCGAUAAGUAAUGUGAAUUGCAGAAUUCAGUGAAUCAUCGAAUCUUUGAACGCACAUUGCGCCCGCCAGCAUUCUGGCGGGCAUGCCUGUUCGAGCGUCAUUUCAACCCUCGACCUCCCUUUGGGGAAGUCGGCGUUGGGGACCGGCAGCACACCGCCGGCCCUGAAAUGGAGUGGCGGCCCGUCCGCGGCGACCUCUGCGUAGUAAUCCAACUCGCACCGGAACCCCGACGCGGCCACGCCGUAAAACACCCAACUUCUGAACGUUGACCUCGAAUCAGGUAGGACUACCCGCUGAACUUAAGCAUAUCAAUAAGCGGAGGA
Molecule: unclassified non-coding RNA, 342 nt
Filed under: soil metagenome
Description: partial contains 5.8S ribosomal RNA, internal transcribed spacer 2, and large subunit ribosomal RNA
Rfam family: 5.8S ribosomal RNA (bases 1-119)
Source: RNAcentral